CNGGGUUGAGUGGCGGACGGGUGAGUAACGCGUGAGAAUCUGCCUUGGGGUCGGGGACAACCACUGGAAACGGUGGCUAAUACCGGAUAAGCCUUUGGGUAAAAGAUUUAUUGCCCCAAGAGGAGCUCGCGUCUGAUUAGCUAGUUGGUGAGGUAAGAGCUCACCAAGGCAGCGAUCAGUAGCUGGUCUGAGAGGACGAUCAGCCACACUGGGACUGAGACACGGCCCAGACUCCUACGGGAGGCAGCAGUGGGGAAUUUUCCGCAAUGGGCGAAAGCCUGACGGAGCAAGACCGCGUGAGGGAGGAAGGCUCUUGGGUUGUAAACCUCUUUUCUCAGGGAAGAAGCUCUGACGGUACCUGAGGAAUCAGCCUCGGCUAACUCCGUGCCAGCAGCCGCGGUAAUACGGAGGAGGCAAGCGUUAUCCGGAAUUAUUGGGCGUAAGGCGUCCGCAGGUGGCGAUUCAAGUCUGCUGUCAGAGCACGGGGCUUAACUCCGUUAAGGCAGUGGAAACUGAAUAGCUAGAGUGCCGUAGGGGUAGAGGGAAUUCCCGGUGUAGCGGUGAAAUGCGUAGAGAUCGGGAAGAACAUCGGUGGCGAAAGCGCUCUACUGGACGGCAACUGACACUCAGGGACGAAAGCUAGGGGAGCGAAUGGGAUUAGAUACCCCAGUAGUCCUAGCUGUAAACGAUGGAUACUACGUGUAGCUUGUAUCGACCCGAGCUGUGCCGAAGCUAACGCGUUAAGUAUCCCG
RNAcentral lists this ribosomal RNA (752 nucleotides) under uncultured organism. RNAcentral describes it as "bacterial SSU rRNA". It matches the Rfam family "Bacterial small subunit ribosomal RNA", at positions 86 to 871 of the family's 1533-position model. The record is from RNAcentral.